AGCAUAUGGGGGAAAAAUAAGCUUCCUAAUAGAAGUACCCAAAUUUGGAUUAGGCUUGAUAGGAAAACAAAUGUGGAAAAUCCUGGAAAAUUUGCUCUUUAAGACCUAAUGUUUGAAACAAUUUUAUUUUUUAUGAAUUUCUUUUUGUUUUCUAUACCACAUAGGAAAUAGAAGUUUUAAGUUUGCAUAACUCUGUGACGGGGAUUUUUUUAAGUAUUAUGGAUUUCAUAUACUCUAUACCAAUGGUUCCCAGAUUUAUCUCACAUUGGAAUUACCUCAAGAACUUCAAAAAAUACAGAUACCAGUGUCCUACCCCCAGCAAUUAUGAUCUAAUUCAUUUGGAAUACAGCUUAAGUAUUAGAAUUUUUAAAGAUCCCAAGGCAAUUCUAAUAUACAGAAAAGUUUUAGAACCACUGCCACGUUAUGAAAAUUUGAACCUGUUGAAAAUUGUGGGUGGGUUCUCUACAUCCAGAUCUGUGUGACUCUGAAGUGCACAUAAGUGCUGAUGCAUACAUGAGAGUUGGUCCCCGGCCCCCAGCAGUUCCCCCAACACCACUCGAAGACUCAGUACUUGAGUGGCUUCUUGUGUCGUAGGCGCUGUUCCAAGCAGCGGUGGUUUAAGAAGAAGAAAAAGCCCCUGCUCAUGGACCAUGCGUUCUCGUGGGAGAGUCAGAUGUAUACCAUGUCAGGCACCUGUGUUAAAUCCUAACAGGAAAGUAAAGCAGAGUAAGGAGAUAGGAAAUGCAUGGAAAGGGAGGUGAGUUUGUUGAUUAUGGUCGUUAAAGAAGAUCUUUCUAAGGAAAUGAUCUUUGAGCUGAGACCAGAAGGAAGUAAGGAAGUGAGGCAGGCGAAGAUUUAGGGGAGGGUGGAGUAGAACAAGCUUGGCAAUUUGACUAGAGCGUUUGACACAAUGUGGGAGGGGCUAGAAAAUGUUGGCUCUUGGAAGCCAUGAUAGAAAAUUUGGGAAGGGUUUAUGUUCUUUAAAGAUCACCCUGGAUGCUGCGUGCCAAUUUUAUUGUAGGUAGCCUUGGUGAAAAUAAGGAGAUUUAGGGGACUCUUCCAGAAGUCUUUGCACCAAAAAUGUUGGUGGCUUAGACUAGGGUGGUUAACAGUGGAAGUGGUGGCGAGUGAUAGGAGUGUGUUUUAAAGAUACUGCCAACAGGGGGACUUUGGCCCAGGAAUUGGAAAGCAGAGAUGACAAGGAUGACUCAGAUUUUUGGCUUGAGGGAAAGAAUCAAGAUUUCUGUUUGCACUUAGGUGUGAGAUACCUGACAGAUUUCUAGUGGGAUCCAGCGUGGAGUUGGGGGACUGAAGUUGGGGGAGGAGUCAGGAGAUGAACAUUUGGGAGUUAUCCUGUGAAUGGAGUUUACAGUCAUGUGAUUGAAAGCACAAAAGUGAACAGAUCAGUGCGUCUCAAAUUUUAAUGUGCAUGUCUGUCACCUGAUUGUGGUAAAAUGCAGAUUCUGACUCAGUAGGUCUGGUGUGGGGCCUGAAAUGCCACAUUUCUAACAAGCUCCUCAGUGAUGCUGAUACUGCUGGAUCAGGGCCCCACGUUUUGAGGAGCAACCAUGUAGACCCUGAAGAGGAAGGAGCGGGCCUUGUGGGACUUCACCAUUUAAAAGAGGGGGGAGCCAGCAAUGGAAACUUCCAACAUCUCUCAGUGAAAUAAGCCAGGAAAAAUGUGGCACACCAAAAACAAAAGUGAAGAAAGUAUCUCAAGAAGGGAGGGAUCACUUAUUCAACUGCUGUUCAAGUAGGAUGAGGACUGUGAAUUAACCCUUAGGUGGGAGGGGGGCCAGUGGUGGUAAAUUUAACAGGCUGCAAGUUUUGAGGAUGAAGGACUAACUGGAGUGGAUUGGGAGCAGAAAGCAAUUGAAGUAGAGUCAACAACCAUGGACAACUCAAGUUCUGAUGUAAAGGGGACGAGAGAUGGGAUGCAGCUGAUGGGUAGGUGAGCUAAGAGGGGAUUUUAACUUUUAAGGAGAUAACAUAGUGUGAUUAUGUGCUGAUUGGAAUAUUCCAUCAGAAGGGGACAAAUGAAUGCUGUGGGGAGGAGUGGAUUACUGCAGGAAUGAAAUCUGAAUAGGCACAAGAAGAGAGAGAGCUAGGACUCAUGAAGGGUUAGUCUCAAGUAGGCACAGGGACAGUUCCUGUUCAUGUGUCAAAAGGGAAGGCAGUAUUUUUCCUCAUUCAAGCAUUUAUUGCCUGCCAAUUAUUUACAAGGCACUGUUUUAGAUACCGG
RNAcentral lists this long non-coding RNA (2242 nucleotides) under Equus caballus (horse). Its description in RNAcentral is "lncRNA (ENSECAG00000055309.1)". The record is from RNAcentral. Lineage: Eukaryota; Metazoa; Chordata; Mammalia; Perissodactyla; Equidae.